Molecule: long non-coding RNA, 668 nt
Organism: Zea mays
Lineage: Eukaryota; Viridiplantae; Streptophyta; Magnoliopsida; Poales; Poaceae
Exons: 2
Source: RefSeq, a predicted model, not a curated record
GUAACCAAACAUGGCCCAAACGUACGUUUGGAUCAAACCAAAGGGAGCCCAUGGAGCAGGGAGGUGGAUCCUCUACAACCCGUGCUUCUUCGUCUACUGCUAGCUUCUCACCUACCGCAGCAAUCUGUAGGCGCAACAUCUGUAGGCGGCGCCGCAGCAACCCGUGCGUUCUUUGUUAGAUCUCUACUGCUAGCUUCUCGGCGGCGUAGUAAGCAGACGGCGGCCCAGAUCUGCCGCGGAGGAGCUCGACCGCGAUGGAGAGGGUUUCAUCAGCUCUAGAAAUGGAUGAGGCUGCCUCAACUGAUCAAUCAAGCAGAUUAACAAAAAGAAGGGCUAAAGUUUGGGAUUACGUUGAUACAGAGGUAGUAGAUGGGAAAGAGAAGGCAGUCUGCAAAUAUUGUAAGGUCCACUUAUCUUCUGCUGUGGGUAAAGGUACAACUCAUCUGAAUAGGCACAUUUUUGUGUAUUGCCAUGCAAUUCCACAAGAAGAGAGACAAAUGUUCUUAGCGACCCAAAAAACAAAGCCUGGCGAUGAUCAUGUUUUCGACCCAGUAGUCUUUCAUGGUCUAAUAGCCAAGUACUUCCUUAGCGCAGAGAUUUCAUUUCGAAAGUGUGAAGAUCCAUCCUGGAAAGAAAUGAUAAUUUACUAUCAACCAUCUUUUCGAUUA